AGGACUACAUAAUUGUAGCACACCAAGUUCGGUGGCAUCUGGAGGCCCUAUGCACGGAGCUUUCGUGAAAAGCAGAGUGAAUGAAGGCUGCCUCGCCUACGGUCACGGUGGUCGAGGCUUUCACGCCUACCUCGCGUGCCGCGCCUCGUAACGCCGGAGCUCGGGUAGGGACGCUUCGCGGCGUCCUCCCGACGUUAAGAUCUGUGUGCGUUCGCAGCCCCCGGCAGCACGAAUGCUUUUCUGGUCCGUUCUGUGCGGCGCAAAAGCGCACAGGACGGCCUAAGGCACGCCUCGUUAGCUUCGUUCCUAAAGGACGCCGCGCGGCCUAGUUCGCAAUGUACGACGGCAGACGAUCGACAUAUAUGUGCGCCUAGCCGGCGCGCUCGACGCACGCAAAAAGACGCGGUACUAUCGCGCCGGAGCUCCAUUAGACAGGUGUAAAAGGUUACGCGUUCCGUGCUCAGACGCUUUUUUUUUUCCCCCGGCCCAUUCCGAUACUACAAGGGCUUAUUUGCCGUGACUGGUGAGUGUAGUACGCCUAUAUAAUCGGCAUUUCCCUCCCCCCUUCAAAAAAGGGAAAGAAAAGCAAGCCGUUACCGAACUCGUUGAUCUCUAUUGCACGAUUGCUCGCAGGACAGAAAGCGAAGAACUUUUCUUUUGCAGCGCACAAUGCACACACUCAUCUUUCGCUGUUUUACGACUCCCCCCUUUUGUUUCUCUGUAGCUUCCCCUCUUUCCCCAUUAUUCUUUUCUCGCCUCAACAUGUGCCGUUCUAGCAGAUAGAAGGCGUACGAGAUGAAGCGAGCGACGCAGCCGUCGCUUCGCUCCGGUCCAGCGCUCCCGCCAGCCCCGAAGAGAGAGAGGAAACAGUGCGUUGCCGGACGCUUGUCGGCACUCCGGGAAACGUCAAGCGAGGCAGAGAUACGGGUUAAAAAAAUAAUAAUAAUAAUAAAAAAAAUAAAAACCAUGGCACCGCCACUACGCCAUUUGCACAAUGAGGAGCGAGAGCCAGCGUGUCUACUGCCGGCGCGCCAAUCGCGUGCCGUGAAGCGAGCAAACGCGAGCGCAGCGCAGAAGCGCCACAACGCGCGCGCCGGAGCCUCCUCACUCGCUUAUAACAACAAUGGAACAAAAAGAAGAGACAGACAGAGAGAUAAAAAAAAAAAAAAAAAAAAAAAAAAAAACUCCCUACCGCGGCGCGCGGAUCCAGCUGCCCGCGCCGAAUUCGCGACUCUUUUGAGUCCAGCAACUCAAAAGAACGGAGGCCGUGACUAGCCGUGACGAUUGUAUUUUUUUGCAGAACUCGCAGGGACUCCCCUCUGCGGCGACAGCUGCGACCGGCUAAUCGUAUUCACGCUGGAACACUGCGGAUGACACUGGCUAUGCAUCUCCGACGCCUGGAUUCUACGCGUGAAAAACGACCAACUGGCAGUCAGUACUUCAAUGCACUGACUGGCCCAAUCUUGAGCUCUUAACCAACAAAGUGUGAAAUAGAUGAGGACAGUGAAAAGAACACAACAGUAAUUUACAAGAUGAAUGGAGGAUCGGACGAGUUUGCAACUGUGUCUCUUCAUGUGCACUGUGAAACAGACAAGCGGGAAGACCUCUCUCUUUGGAGUUUGGAGUUAAAUAGAAGGUAUGCGACAUGCUUUGGCUCUUGAGAUGGAGCCGAUAAGUUACACUCGGGUAAAUACAAGGUAAGAACAUGUGCACUGGCAUGCUCAUGAUUGGCUGAUACCACAGCUUCAGCUGCAGAACCACAUUACAGAGCUAUGGCAUAUACAUCCUGUCUCAUAAGAGCAACAUCGUUAUCCAUAUACUAGAUAAUGAAACUAUCUUGUCAUAAAAAAAAAAAAUUUCUCAAUUUCCUUCAUGCUCCGGCCAUAUAUCUACUUGAUCUCCCUUCUCCAUCAAUCCUUCAGCCUCCUCUUGCCUAUCUACACCUUUUGUAGAUUAAUCUCCCCCUGGCAGCUCUGAAAUCCCAAUGCUCCUUGAGCCUUCACACUUGUUUUGUUCAGUUCAGGCUGAAAGGAAUCCAACCUUAUGAAAAUAUGUCUCGUAUCUUGACCUUAAAGGGCCCCUCACCAAGUCUGGCCCCUUUGAGCUGACAAGCGCAGAGCAUACAAUGCGCGAUAACGAUCGUGUCUGCGAAGUAUUACAUCGCUACAUGCUGUGGAAAGACCUGAAAGUUCAAACUGAACGCCGUUUUCUCUUGUCCUUGCAGCCGCCAGGCUCCAAGCUGGAGAAUGACGUACACGUGCUAGUGCGCCUACGUAGAUGUGUUCACGUUGCGACGUUGCUCGUGGUGACACGUGACUUCAAGAAUUAUUCGGGGCAACAUCUGUUAUUUGUGUAAUAUGUUACUAGAAUAGACGAAUUAAAGCUUAGAGAAAUAAUAAAACACACAAACCGAAUGUCUGCAUGUUUUUGUUUUACUUCUCACAGCAGCAAGAGAGAUGUACUUCCGUAUCGUCUGCUUGUUCCCACGUCGUGCAGUUGCGCGCGCAGACACUGAAACUGUCAUUUUCUAUUGCGUUCCAGCACGGGAUCAUGCUCUGUAAUCGGCUUGUGUCUGCCUCAGUAUUCAUGUAGCACAGACUUGUACCACUAGUCAGGUGUCCUCAUCCACCACGAGCAAAAUCAUGCGCUCUGUGAAAUGAGAUAAUCGCAACUGCUCGUGUGCACUGCCGUCUACGGAAGGGCGCCGCGCCGCAAGAGAGAGGCGGGGCCCGUGAGGUAUGCGUCAUGCGAUCCUCAAUGUCCGGUAUGGGAGAACGUAAAGGAGGGAAUUUCGCUUGCGGAGGCUAGACAGGGAAAGUGGAGACAGUGUCUUGCUUGGCAGUGGAGCUCGCCUUCUGAUAUCAUGGGUUCGCGGCACUGAAAUAUUUCUAUCUCGGCUAUUAAUGAGCCGAUUUGAAAAAAUUUUGCGGCAGAACGCUCCCUAUAGGACAUGCAACAACUUCCAGUGUAUAACCGAAGUUUGCUGUGUGGCCUGGUGAGGGCCCUUUAAGUGCCACCUAGUGUAGCAAGCCAGAUUUUGACGGGGGAGCAGGCACAUAUAGGCUGGUCUGACUUUGCACCAAUGCAGAGACUAACAGCUUCAAAUAAGAGUUGGCUGUCUAAGUAUGCAACAUUACGAGGUUUUAGCAUGUCUGUAAAUGUCUUGCCCUUUGCAACAUAUUGGGUUACCAAAGAUGUGGACAGAAGUAGCAACAUUGGUAGAGACAUCUUGCAACGCCUCAUCCACCCACAACAUGUCAAAUGUUUUUGUCCGCAUGAGUGUUCAUGCCUAGAGAACAGUUAGAAAACAAUGCAUGUUAAUGAUUAUGCCACUGCCAACACUUUACACCAGGAGCUUAGUAGGAUAUGGUUGUCACUACAAAAAUAGCUCUGUGUCCCUGGUUAAACAAUGCGCCACAAUACGGUGCAACCAGUGUUGCUAUUGCUGUUCGUGUCUCCGGUUACUAGGUAUUCCGCAAGGUGCACUAUCUUUAUGGACAAGCUAAAGCUCAAUAACUUGCUGCAGGCCCUGCAGCGCUCCCAAGAAAGCUUGUUGGGUGGAACCAAUAGCAUCACCAUGAUGUAGCAAUAUCGUGUACUUUGUGCGAUGAACGUGACACCGAUGUGUGGCACUACGAUCAUUGGUAAGAAUGGUAAUGUGUGAUUUAUGUUUGCACAAUAUUGCGAGUACUGCGAAAAAAAAAAAAAGAAACAUGUUUUACGAUCAUAGUAAUAAUUGCCUAAUUAUUACACAAUCACGAGCAAGAUGUUGUAGCUAUGGGAACACUGCAUCAACAUGCUGAGCACAUGAUGUGGCAACAUCCACCUCGCCGAAGCUGGACUGUGCACCACCCUAUCGUGGAGGGGGUAGCUAUGCCAUCAACAAGCUGAGCAACCAUGGACCGCUGGCUUCUGCUGCGCAACAUCAACACCCUGCUGCUAUUGUACGCUGCAGUUUCACAUCAUGGGAGAGUGAAAUGUGGCAUCCGGAGCUACAAAUAUUCUAGUCAAGGUAACUAAUUUUGCUUGUAUUUUGAAUUUCCUGUGACAAAUAACUUGGGUUUGUGUGCCUUAGUUAUCAUACAGAAAUUUCAGUUUUGGCUCCCAGAAGGUGCAUGCGUAUGUGAAAGGUGGUCGUUACGUGGGGGCAGAAUAUUGCACUGUUUUCACACUCUCUUCAGCUCGCAUGCCAUCGGGCUGUGCAAGCAGUGGCAGCAUAGCAGACGACCAAGAUAGUUGGAGCAAGUGCCAAAAUGUCAAUAUUCUGCUGCCACCUUCCUCAUCACAACACAUACAUCUUCUGGGAAAUGAAACAAACUGGUUUGUAGAGAAAGUCUAGUAAAUUGUUUAGGGCACCUGAGGAUUACCGGUAUUCUUGGAAAGGCUUUGAGUAGAGGAUCUACACUUAACACAAAUAAUGAAAAAUCUGAAAUUUCAUGUCAGUGCUCCAUUAAAAGCACAAGUGUGUGGCCAGUCUCGAUU
Molecule: long non-coding RNA, 4482 nt
Organism: Dermacentor andersoni
Lineage: Eukaryota; Metazoa; Arthropoda; Arachnida; Ixodida; Ixodidae
Source: RefSeq, a predicted model, not a curated record